AGAACGAACGCUGGCGGCAUGCCUAAUACAUGCAAGUCGAACGAACUCUUCGGAGUUAGUGGCGCACGGGUGCGUAACGCGUGGGAAUCUGCCCCUUGGUUCGGAAUAACAGUUGGAAACGACUGCUAAUACCGGAUGAUGACGAAAGUCCAAAGAUUUAUCGCCAAGGGAUGAGCCCGCGUAGGAUUAGCUAGUUGGUGAGGUAAAGGCUCACCAAGGCAACGAUCCUUAGCUGGUCUGAGAGGAUGAUCAGCCACACUGGGACUGAGACACGGCCCAGACUCCUACGGGAGGCAGCAGUAGGGAAUAUUGGACAAUGGGCGAAAGCCUGAUCCAGCAAUGCCGCGUGAGUGAUGAAGGCCUUA
RNAcentral lists this ribosomal RNA (365 nucleotides) under uncultured soil bacterium. RNAcentral's name for it is "bacterial SSU rRNA". It matches the Rfam family "Bacterial small subunit ribosomal RNA", at positions 26 to 419 of the family's 1533-position model. The record is from RNAcentral.